Molecule: ribosomal RNA, 470 nt
Filed under: Metaballus mucronatus
Lineage: Eukaryota; Metazoa; Arthropoda; Insecta; Orthoptera; Tettigoniidae
Description: eukaryotic LSU rRNA
Rfam family: Eukaryotic large subunit ribosomal RNA
Source: RNAcentral
CAAGGAGUCGUCUUCGUAUGCGAGUGUUCGGGUGUCAAACCCCUACGCGUAAUGAAAGUGAACGUAGGUGAGAGCUUCGGCGCAUCACCGACCGAUCCUGAUGUUCUCGGAUGGAUUUGAGUAAGAGCAUACGGGGCCGGACCCGAAAGAAGGUGAACUAUGCCUGUAUAGGGUGAAGCCAGAGGAAACUCUGGUGGAGGCUCGCAGCGGUUCUGACGUGCGAAUCGAUCGUCAAAUAUGGGCAUGGGGGCGAAAGACUAAUCGAACCUUCUAGUAGCUGGUUUCCGCCGAAGUUUCCCUCAGGAUAGCAGUGUUGAACUCAGUUUUAUGAGGUAAAGCGAAUGAUUAGGGACUCGGGGGCGCUAUAUUGCCUUCAUCCAUUCUCAAACUUUAAAUAUGUAAGAAGCCCUUGUUACUUGAUUGAACGUGGGCAUUCGAAUGUAUCAACACUAGUGGGCCAUUUUUGGUAA